ACGGAAGGCAGCAGUGAGGAAUAUUGGUCAAUGGGCGGAAGCCUGAACCAGCCAAGUCGCGUGAAGGAUGAAGGUAUUAUGUAUUGUAAACUUCUUUAGUCGUAGAGAAAUAAGGUGCUCGUGAGCACUGAUGCUAGUAUACGAAGAAUAAGGAUCGGCUAACUCCGUGCCAGCAGCCGCGGUAAUACGGAGGAUCCGAGCGUUAUCCGGAUUUAUUGGGUUUAAAGGGUGCGCAGGCGGCUUUUUAAGUCAGUGGUCAAAUCGUGGGGCUCAACCCCAUCCCGCCAUUGAUACUGGAGAGCUUGAUUGCGGUCGAGGUUGGCGGAAUUCGUCGUGUAGCGGUGAAGUGCAUAGAUAUGACGAAGAACACCGAUUGCGUAGGCAGCUGACCAGGCCGUAAAUGACGCUCAUGCACGAAAGUGCGGGGAUCGAACAGGAUUAGAUACCCUGGUA
This 453-nucleotide ribosomal RNA is filed under the name uncultured Porphyromonadaceae bacterium. Its description in RNAcentral is "partial 16S ribosomal RNA". It matches the Rfam family "Bacterial small subunit ribosomal RNA", at positions 341 to 792 of the family's 1533-position model. Lineage: Bacteria; Pseudomonadati; Bacteroidota; Bacteroidia; Bacteroidales; Porphyromonadaceae. The record is from RNAcentral.